This 694-nucleotide ribosomal RNA is filed under the name uncultured bacterium. RNAcentral's name for it is "bacterial SSU rRNA". It matches the Rfam family "Bacterial small subunit ribosomal RNA", at positions 32 to 715 of the family's 1533-position model. The record is from RNAcentral.
AACGCUAGCUACAGGCUUAACACAUGCAAGUCGAGGGGCAGCAUGAAGUCAGCUUGCUGACUUUGAUGGCGACCGGCGCACGGGUGAGUAACGCGUACCUAACCUGCCUCUGUCUCGGGCAUAACCCGGUGAAAACCGGACUAAUUCCCGAUGUUGUUCCUUGACGGCAUCAGAUUGGAGCCAAAGAUUUAUCGGACAGGGAUGGGGAUGCGUCUGAUUAGGUAGUUGGUGAGGUAACGGCUCACCAAGCCUUCGAUCAGUAGGGGUUCUGAGAGGAAGGUCCCCCACAUUGGAACUGAGACACGGUCCAAACUCCUACGGGAGGCAGCAGUGAGGAAUAUUGGUCAAUGGCCGGAAGGCUGAACCAGCCAAGUAGCGUGAAGGAUGAAGGUUCUAUGGAUUGUAAACUUCUUUUAUGAGGGAAUAAAACCUCCCACGUGUGGGAGCUUGUAUGUACCUUAUGAAUAAGCAUCGGCUAACUCCGUGCCAGCAGCCGCGGUAAUACGGAGGAUGCGAGCGUUAUCCGGAUUUAUUGGGUUUAAAGGGAGCGUAGACGGGGGAUUAAGUCAGCUGUGAAAGUUUGAGGCCCAACCUUAAAAUUGCAGUUGAUACUGGUUUCCUUGAGUGCGGUUGAGGUGUAUGGAAUUCGUGGUGUAGCGGUGAAAUGCUUAGAUAUCACGAAGAACUCCGAUUG